Exaiptasia diaphana is the source of this 300-nucleotide long non-coding RNA. RefSeq lists it as uncharacterized. The transcript is spliced from 2 exons. NCBI's taxonomy places the organism in Eukaryota, Metazoa, Cnidaria, Anthozoa, Actiniaria, Aiptasiidae. The record is from RefSeq and is a predicted model, not a curated record.
CUCGUUCGAGCGCCAUUUCUAACGGUCAUUUUAGAGGCGAGUCUACAGAUUUUUCGUCUUUCAUGGCAGUUCUCGUGGAUUUUAUUCGUUUACAAACAACGUCUUUCAACUAGUAAGCUAUCCGAAUGGCUGUAGUGUCUUUAGGCAUGAUAUUUAACCGUGGAUGGCCGUCAACUGGUGAGAUUCGUUGGCAAUUUUCAUGUAAGGCACCAAAUCAAAGUCUUGAAACGAAUAAAUAUGGAUACAUGUAGUGUACAAGAAGCUCAAUCCAGUCGCUCAAUCAGCUGAAACUAAUGUAGG